UACGAGAGCCUCGAGCGUUAUCCGGAAUUAUUGGGCGUAAAGGGUGUGUAGGUUGUUCUGUUAGUCUUUUGUUAAAACCUCGGGCUUAACCCGGGGAUUGCGGGGGAAACGGCAGAACUAGAAAGUGUGAGAGGUGUACGGAACUCAUGGUGUAGGGGUGAAAUCCGUUGAUAUCAUGGGGAACACCAAAAGCGAAAGCAGUACACUAGCGCAUAUUUGACACUGAAACACGAAAGCGUGGGUAGCGAAUGGG
RNAcentral lists this ribosomal RNA (253 nucleotides) under uncultured bacterium. Its description in RNAcentral is "partial 16S ribosomal RNA". It matches the Rfam family "Bacterial small subunit ribosomal RNA", at positions 524 to 776 of the family's 1533-position model. The record is from RNAcentral.